This 125-nucleotide small nucleolar RNA is filed under the name Echinops telfairi (small Madagascar hedgehog). RNAcentral describes it as "Small nucleolar RNA SNORA61 (ENSETEG00000025189.1)". The record is from RNAcentral. Lineage: Eukaryota; Metazoa; Chordata; Mammalia; Afrosoricida; Tenrecidae.
UCCCUCCAGAUUUCAUACCCCUCAUGCCUAAAUAGUGUUUUGAGUGGCUUAAAAAAAAAAGAGGAAAAGUAAAAUUGAAAUGGACUUGCAGUGCUUAGUGACAAACAAGCUCAUCUCAAACAAAC